UGCAAUAGCGAUUCCUCGCUCCUCAGGAAU
This 30-nucleotide non-coding RNA is filed under the name Rattus norvegicus (Norway rat). Lineage: Eukaryota; Metazoa; Chordata; Mammalia; Rodentia; Muridae. The record is from RNAcentral.